CCUACGGGCGACUGCAGUGAGGAAUAUUGGUCAAUGGACGAGAGUCUGAACCAGCCAAGUAGCGUGAAGGAUGACUGCCCUAUGGGUUGUAAACUUCUUUUAUAAAGGAAUAAAACGAGGCACGUGUGCCUGUUUGCAUGUACUUUAUGAAUAAGGAUCGGCUAACUCCGUGCCAGCAGCCGCGGUAAUACGGAGGAUCCGAGCGUUAUCCGGAUUUAUUGGGGUUAAAGGGAGCGUAGAUGGGUUGGUAAGUCAGUUGUGAAAGUUUGCGGCUCAACCGUAAAAUUGCAAUUGAUACUGGCAGUCUUGAGUACAGUUGAGGUAGGCGGAAUUCGUGGUGUAGCGGUGAAAUGCUUAGAUAUCACGAAGAACCCCGAUUGCGAAGGCAGCUUACUAAACUGUGACUGACACUGAUGCUCGAAAGUGUGGGUAUCAAACAGGAUUAGAUACCCGGGUAGUC
Molecule: ribosomal RNA, 460 nt
Filed under: uncultured bacterium
Lineage: Bacteria
Description: partial 16S ribosomal RNA
Rfam family: Bacterial small subunit ribosomal RNA
Source: RNAcentral